UCGUCCCGGCAUUUUGCCACGGCUCAUGGGAGCCUGGAGUCCGCUUGACAACUAAUCCCAAGAUUUGGCGUAGGCACUAUUUUUACGAAAGCGACUGCCAUCUGACCUUCCAACCCAGAGGGUAAACUAGGCCUUGUUGGGAUUAGUCCGGUUUCCUCACGAUGUUUUCCUUCGCCGAAAAGCGACUGGUAAAUAUCAAAUGAUAUUUCGUACAUAAGUUCCGAAAAAACUCAUUGGUACGAGCCGGGGUUUGAACCCGCGACCUACGGAUUGCAAGUCGCAUGCUCUUACCGCUAGGCCACCAGCGCUUCCAAACAUUACAACAUUACUUCCAACAUUAUUAAAAAUAUCUUGACACAAUUAGAUGUAUAUUAGCUAUAUUAAUUUUUAACAUACGUCUGCGAUCGAUGCUAUGGUAGCACAUCGUUACUGGCGAAUUUCCAAUAUGACUUGGAACUCCGGUAGCCGUCUAAGAAGUGUAACGUUCUUACGGUAGAUGUCGCUAGGGUCCCCUAGACCCAUAUGGUGAAAAAAUUUGCUGCCUAGGGAUGAGGUCUUGGUGGCUCAGAUGGCAGAGCGCUGGAAUAUCGAUCCAGAGGCCGUGAGUUCAAGUCUCACCCAAGACAGUAAUUUUUCCAUUUUUAAAUUUAUAUUAGCUAUAUUUAAUUAUUAUAGCAGUUAAGGGCAUUAAAAAAUAUGGAAAUUAUUUUCCGCUCCAAAUUCUAACCCUUAACCCCCUUAUUCGUAAACGUGUACUAAAGUUGCGAUGCCGCUGAUCAUUUGUCCCUUUCCAUCAUACCAAUACGUCGGAAAGGGACAAACGAUGAUCAGCGGCAUCGUAACUUUAGUACACGUUUAUGAAUAAGGGGGUAAAUGUAUAGUGUUGCCAAAUGUCUACAAAGCAUUAGACAGCUCACAGAUAAAAAAAAAGGCUUACGUUAUUGAACGCACCUUUAUACCAAAUAUAUAAAAAAAUCAUGCAUUUAAGGGUAAAUUAUAAAAUCGAAAAACAUCAAACGAAGAUAUAUUAGCUAUGGUACAUACAUCAAAUUAUGUAAAAAUAUUUUUUAAUAAUGUUAAUAUGCAGAGAGGAAAAUGGGGACUAUUGUAUGGAGAAACGGCCGCCCCUUUCCUCUUAACGGCCGGUUAGCAAUCGUCACAAAAUUGACGGUCAAUGUUAAACACCAUACAUUUUGUCAAAAAAGUGACCAUUAGACGACUUAGGCCCUCAGCACACGGAGCGUAAGCGUAAGAGACGCGUAAGCGUAUCGUAAUACGCGCGUUGAACGAGAGCGCUAUUAGCACGAACAAGUUCAAACAAAGCGAAGCGUCGUCGUAGCGUAUGAGGUUUCUGACGCGUAGCGCAAUAUAGGCGUAAAAAACAAAACUUCUGACAUAAUCAAACAUUAAAAAAUCCUUAUCUGAGAAAAAAGUAAGAUCGUUGAUAGGGACCGUGCGCGUUGGAGGGUCUGCCAUCUUGUGGCCUGAAUCGGAACCAUAAACAUGCACAUUUACACGUCACGUGUUUUCUUGUGCAUAGUAGGUUCUGCCAUCUUGUGGGCUACAUCGGAACAAAAAACAUACAUUUACGCCUCGCGCCAAAAAUCUGACGGCUCCUGUGCUGCCUCCUACAGUUCAUGCACGCUCCCUAUACAUCCGUCGAAGACAUCUGACGCCAGUGACGCCAUUUUUUCAACUAAUGAGAUUUCAGUAUUUCACUUAUAAAACGAUAACUUACGAGACGCUUGGUGCUCAGAGACCCUAGUGUAAAUUUAUUCGCGUUUGCGUUAAGUAUCAUUUUGUAUGGGAUUUAGAAACAGCGCGCCAAGCGGGACGUUUUGGAAACUCAAAAUCCCAUACUAAAUGAGACUUAAUGCAAAUGCGUACGUCACGGCUCGCUAUCGAAUAAAUUUACAUUAGGGGUACAGAACUCGUAACGUUAUUACGAUACGCUUACGCGAUGCUUACGGUUACGCUCCGUGUGCUGAAGGCCUUAAACACAAGUCGCGCUUUAAACUACAAGUUUUCCUAUAAUGAAAAUGCCCUUAAAUUUAAAAUUGUAUUUGUUUAUUUUUGUAUUAGUUUCGUUUAGUUUAGGCCCAGAAUGCAUUACAAUGUACACUUCUUUUUAAUCUAAGGGUAGUAUCUCACCUGUCUCAUUCCUUGGUCCAAUGUGCAUUGCGUCUCACUCUCUCAUUAAGCAAAAUGUGAGACGCAAAUACACAUUGGACCAAUAAAUCGGACAGGUGGAACACCUAAUUACCUUUCGUAAUCAAAUAAAGUGGCAUUUCUUUUCAAACAAACGAAAUUGAUCCCAAUUUACUACACAACAAGGUUCAAAUUAAAAAUAGGAGAAAUUUGUACGGUGAGCCUUACGAGGUUCUAACUUUGCCUUGAUUGUUUACUAGGAACGUAAAGGCAAUGAUUUUUUAAUAGAUAUGAAUAAUAUGUAUUGCGUCAUAUUUUACUUUUUAUUUUAGAUGUUUACAAAUUUUCUGUUUUUCAACAGUACAUAAGGCUUCUUAUAGUUUAGGUAUAUUUGAAGACCAAAUGAAUUUUUCGAGAUAGAAUGUAAAAUGUAUUGUUUUUAUAUUACGUCGGUGGUAAACGAGCAUACGGCCCGCCUGAUUUUUUUAUACUACGUCGGUGGCAAACAAGCAUACGGCCUGCCUGAUGGUAAGCAGUCUCCGUAGCCUAUGUACACCUGCAACUCCAGAGGAGUUACAUGCGCGUUGCCGACCCUAACCCCACCCCCCUCGUUGAGCUCUGGCAACCUUACUCACCGGCAGGAACACAACACUAUGAGUAGGGUCAAGUGUUAUUUGGCUGCGGUUUUCUGUAAGGUGGAGGUACUUCUCCAGUUGGGCUCUGCUCUAGAUCUGGAAUGACAUCUGCUGUGCUGUGCCCUACCACACAAGGCGAGAUGACAUUCACAUUGCCCAUACCUCUCUUUUGGACGUAGUUUAAGGACAUACCCGGGUCCGGACGUAGUUUAAGGACAUACCCGGGUCCAACCUUACUCACCGGUAGGAACACAACACUAUAGGGGGAACAUAAUCGAGUCCAGCCGUUUUUGAGUUAUUGCAAAAAGUCUUUUUAGUAAAAAAACUCCCUUAUGAUUGUAACGUACAUGAUAAUUACUAAAAGCCCCCGCUUAGCCUAUUCUGACAGAAUGGUAACUACGGAACCCUACACUGAGCAUGGCCCGACAUGGUCUUGGCCGAUUUUUAGUAGGGAGAAAUGCGGAGUGACUCACGCCUAGUACAGUCAGCAUCAAAAGUAGCGGAUGAAACAACGCGCCAAAAGUAUCUGAUAUUCGGGAUAACUUUUCCAAAUAUAGAUAAAUUUCUAGAAUUCGCGUUCCAAAGUAUAUCUAUUACAGUUUUUGUUGUUCUAUAUUAAAGACAUCACUUUUUGUUAAGCUGUUACA
This is a long non-coding RNA of Cydia pomonella (codling moth), 3430 nucleotides long. RefSeq lists it as uncharacterized. NCBI's taxonomy places the organism in Eukaryota, Metazoa, Arthropoda, Insecta, Lepidoptera, Tortricidae. The record is from RefSeq and is a predicted model, not a curated record. The transcript has 2 exons.